AUCUUACAUAGAACAACCAGAAAAUCACUUUCCUUUCCUAAUAUCAGCAUUUGAAACCGCUCACUUUGUUUUGGAUUCUCCAUACAUGAUUCUACUGAAAACAACGUUUAGAUGACCAUUCAUUUAAUACAUAUACUUAUAUAAGGAUGAUUCCUCACAAAACUAGAACACUUUUUUUUUUCAUGAAAUGCAAUCUGUAGAAUGUUCCUUUGGAGGAAGGAUUGUUGGGAUAUAUUUGACAUUUAACUUAAAGCAUAGUUGAAAAGUAUUUAAUUGAAGUUGGAAUAUUUGUUGCUAUGUUGUUGCCUUAGGUCUCUCUUUAUGUUGUCUCUUGUCGCAAUGUUUUUUCUUAUAUUUCUGUGUUAUAUAUACAUAUAUAUUUACAAUUUUUAAUCCCAGCCCACGUCCCCGCACGAGGUCUUUUGCCUCACCGUCAUUGUGAAUAAGAAUUUGUUCUUAACUGACCUGCCUAGCUAAAUAAAAUAAAUACAAAAAAAUAGUGACAUUUUGGCCUUACCAGGCCUCCUUUAAGAGUAAAUAUUUCAGUUGUAGGUGCUACAAAGCAACAUUUGGUGUCAUAUUCAACUUUACUGCUUGCUCUGUUAUAUGAGUAGUAUUUUGAUUGCAAUAACACAUUUUUGACAUUCUUUUUACACGCUUCAGCACUCGGCGGUCCUGUUCUGUGAGCUUGUGGGGCCUCCCACUUCACAGCCAUUGUUGCUCCUAGAUGGUUUCCACUUCACAAUAACUGCACUUAAGAGUUGAGCAGGGCAGAUAUGUGAUGAACUGACUUGUUGGAAAGGUGCCAUUCUAUGAUGGUGCCACAUUGAAAGUCACUGAGCCCUUCAGUAAGGCCAUUCUUUUGCAACUGUGCCUAUGGAGAUUGUAUACAAGGGUGUGGCUGAAAUAGCCAAAUCCAAUCAUUUGAAGGGGUGACCACAUACCUUUGUGUGUAUAUAUAGUGCAUUAUUUCCCAUGUUUAUAGCCAAUAGGCUAUAAAGGCCAGGGGCAGUUGUGUAAUUCAAAUAAAACCAGAGAGGAAGAGGCGAAUUUGUAAGACAAGAAGACAUUGCAAGAUGCAGAUUACCAAAACAGAGCACGCUUCUGCCUUCUGCUUCUCUCGUUCACGCUGGCCUGCCUGUCUCUUCGCUAAUGAUGCUAGUUAGUGUGUGUUCAGUCUUUGGUCUGUUGCGUGAAGAAUAUCCUAGCCAAUUCAUGGCACCGAUUUUUACAGUCAGUCUUGCUGGUACGAGGUAGUCUACUCGAACUUUUUGUCUCAUAUGAAAUUUUAGUAGACUUCCGGUAGCCUGCAUCGAUUACGCUUUUCAGACAUAAUGGAAUGUGACCCCUUCAAAUCCCGUCGGCUACUGCAUGUUUGUUUCUCUGUCUGUUAGGCUUCUGGAGUCACUGGUGUGGAUCCUCCGGAAUGUGUUGCGUGUGGAUGGGAAGACAGGCUCCUGGAACCUGUCUCUGGACUGCAGAACCUUACUACACACCAUCUUGACAAAUAAAACAAAUCAGGACAUUCUCCACAGGGAAGUCGUUACUGAAAGGAGGAGAAGCCAGUACAUUGUGGUUACAGGUUACUGUGAAGGACAACAUGAACCAUUAUAUGCUCACCACAUGCUUGCUGCGCUACCUACACCCAUAUUACCAAUGUUGUUAUUAUUACAAAUGUUUAUUUUUAUUUACAAUUGUAAUUUAUUGUAAAAACAAAAGGCAAUGUUUAGCUAUUACCCAGGACAAUAAGAAAUCCCAUUGGCUAUUUAGCCAUUCUAUAGCCAGAUAUUUAAAUAUUUAUACUGUUACAUUGGUCAGCGUUAGAAUGCAUUCUGAGUGUGGUGCUUCGGUUAGUUUUCAGACUACUAACCCUAGCCUACUAUUCAAUUGAUUUACUUUAAAUUGAAGGAAUGUAUUUAUUCCCUUUAAAUUCAGGUUGUAUGCUGAUUCUGUAUUUUUCUACGUGAACCAAAUAGUAAAAUAAUCAUAUUUGGAGGACAAAGUGUUUGUUUUAAUUAACUUCAUUGAAAGUCAAAAGGCUGAUUUUUGUAACAUUUGAUUCCUUUCAGUCGCUACAAUAUGAUACAGCAGCAGGUAGCAAUGUUGGAACUAACAUAAGUUGCGUGUAACCAAUCUUUAUUUUGAAAUCUCACCUUUAUUUUGAAAAACGAUCCACUAAGUAGAAGACAUUUUUUUGUUUCCGGAACAAAAAUAAACAAAAAAGAGAACCUGCGAGAAGCUAGCCACAAUAAGGACUAGCCACAAUAGUGGAAUUUACGGGUUGUCUUCAAAAUAAAAGCUCCCAUUUGACUGACUUCAAACUGAUACAAGUGGAUUCCUUGGGUGCGUAUGUAAAUUCACUCUGGCUAUCUACUCUGAUUUCAGAACACUCUCGUUCGAGUAUGCCAGAGCACAGAAUAACUGAGGCUACUAACACGCAACACUAGUUGAAUAUGACGGGUGUCAGUAAAGGUUGACAAAAACCAUUAUUCAAUUGUUGCUAGCAGCACUGUUAGUCACUAAUGCUCUAGAUAACAUGAA
Non-coding RNA from Oncorhynchus mykiss (rainbow trout), 2541 nucleotides. The record is from RefSeq and is a predicted model, not a curated record. NCBI's taxonomy places the organism in Eukaryota, Metazoa, Chordata, Actinopteri, Salmoniformes, Salmonidae.